AGAGUUUGAUCCUGGCUCAGGAUGAACGCUAGCGGCAGGCUUAACACAUGCAAGUCGAGGGGCAUCGCGAGAUAGCAAUAUUUUGGCGGCGACCGGCGCACGGGUGCGUAACGCGUAUGUAACCUACCUACAACAGGAGGAUAAUCCGGGGAAACUUGGUCUAAUACUCCAUAGCAUUAUGAUAUUGCAUAAUAUAAUAAUUAAAGUUGCGAGACGGUUGUAGAUGGGCAUGCGUGACAUUAGCUAGUUGGUAGGGUAAUAGCUUACCAAGGCGACGAUGUCUAGGGGAACUGAGAGGUUGAUCCCCCACACUGGAACUGAGACACGGUCCAGACUCCUACGGGAGGCAGCAGUGAGGAAUAUUGGUCAAUGGGCGGAAGCCUGAACCAGCCAUGCCGCGUGCAGGAAGACGGCCUUAUGGGUUGUAAACUGCUUUUGAGAUGGAGCAAUAAGAGCUACGUGUAGCUUGAUGAGAGUACAUUUUGAAUAAGCAUCGGCUAACUCCGUGCCAGCAGCCGCGGUAAUACGGAGGAUGCAAGCGUUAUCCGGAUUCAUUGGGUUUAAAGGGUGCGUAGGCGGGUAAUUAAGUCAGUGGUGAAAUUUUACAGCUUAACUGUAAGCGUGCCAUUGAUACUGAUUGCCUAGAGUGCAAAUGGAGUAGGCGGAAUAUGUCAUGUAGCGGUGAAAUGCAUAGAUAUGACAUAGAACACCGAUCGCGAAGGCAGCUUACUAAGAUGCAACUGACGCUGAUGCACGAAAGCGUGGGGAUCAAACAGGAUUAGAUACCCUGGUAGUCCACGCUGUAAACGAUGAUAACUCGUUGUCGGCGAUAUACAGUCGGUGACUGAGCGAAAGCGAUAAGUUAUCCACCUGGGGAGUACGAUCGCAAGGUUGAAACUCAAAGGAAUUGACGGGGGCCCGCACAAGCGGAGGAGCAUGU
RNAcentral lists this ribosomal RNA (940 nucleotides) under termite gut metagenome. RNAcentral's name for it is "bacterial SSU rRNA". It matches the Rfam family "Bacterial small subunit ribosomal RNA", at positions 8 to 942 of the family's 1533-position model. The record is from RNAcentral.